RNAcentral lists this ribosomal RNA (1024 nucleotides) under Phaeosphaeriaceae sp. GP9. RNAcentral's name for it is "SSU rRNA". It matches the Rfam family "Eukaryotic small subunit ribosomal RNA", at positions 43 to 1077 of the family's 1831-position model. The record is from RNAcentral. Lineage: Eukaryota; Fungi; Ascomycota; Dothideomycetes; Pleosporales; Phaeosphaeriaceae.
AUUAAGCCAUGCAUGUCUAAGUAUAAGCAAUUAUACCGUGAAACUGCGAAUGGCUCAUUAAAUCAGUUAUCGUUUAUUUGAUAGUACCUUACUACUUGGAUAACCGUGGUAAUUCUAGAGCUAAUACAUGCUAAAAACCCCAACUUCGGGAGGGGUGUAUUUAUUAGAUAAAAAACCAAUGCCCUUCGGGGCUCCUUGGUGAUUCAUGAUAACUUCUCAGAUCGCAUAGCCUUGUGCUGGCGACGGUUCAUUCAAAUUUCUGCCCUAUCAACUUUCGAUGGUAAGGUAUUGGCUUACCAUGGUUUCAACGGGUAACGGGGAAUUAGGGUUCGAUUCCGGAGAGGGAGCCUGAGAAACGGCUACCACAUCCAAGGAAGGCAGCAGGCGCGCAAAUUACCCAAUUCCGAUACGGAGAGGUAGUGACAAUAAAUACUGAUACAGGGCUCUUUUGGGUCUUGUAAUUGGAAUGAGUACAAUUUAAACCUCUUAACGAGGAACAAUUGGAGGGCAAGUCUGGUGCCAGCAGCCGCGGUAAUUCCAGCUCCAAUAGCGUAUAUUAAAGUUGUUGCAGUUAAAAAGCUCGUAGUUGAACCUUUGGCCUGGCUGGCAGGUCCGCCUCACCGCGUGCACUUGUCCGGCCGGGCCUUUUCUUCUGGAGAACCGCAUGCCCUUCACUGGGUGUGUUGGGGACCAGGACUUUUACUUUGAAAAAAUUAGAGUGUUCAAAGCAGGCCUUUGCUCGAAUACGUUAGCAUGGAAUAAUAGAAUAGGACGUGCGGUCCUAUUUUGUUGGUUUCUAGGACCGCCGUAAUGAUUAAUAGGGACAGUCGGGGGCAUCAGUAUUCAAUUGUCAGAGGUGAAAUUCUUGGAUUUAUUGAAGACUAACUACUGCGAAAGCAUUUGCCAAGGAUGUUUUCAUUAAUCAGUGAACGAAAGUUAGGGGAUCGAAGACGAUCAGAUACCGUCGUAGUCUUAACCAUAAACUAUGCCGACUAGGGAUCGGGCGGUGUUUCUAUUGUGACCC